UUUAAGUGAAAGGAGGAAGAAAAGGACACAGGAAAGGAUGGACACCCGAACCCAGCAAGAACCUUUCCAGUCUGGGUGACCUUGGUCUGACAGACGAGACGCUAUACCGGCGGGCGACUGGUACUGGGAGUGCUCCACCCCACCCGGCGGGGGCGGGGUCUGCGGCGUCCGUGGGCGCCCCCCAGUGGCAGCGGGUGGCGCCGCACGGAGUUCGCUGCUUGGACCGGGACCGAUGCCAUCUGAGACGCACGCGAUGCUGGCGACGCUGGCGAGGGUGGCAGCUCUGCGCAGAACCUGCCUCUUCUCCGGCCGGGGCGGCGGGAGGGGGCUGUGGACUGGCCGCCCGCAGUCAGAUAUGAACAAUAUAAAGCCAUUGGAAGGGGUAAAAAUUCUGGAUCUAACAAGAAUCCUGGCGGGACCUUUUGCUACUAUGAAUUUAGGAGACCUUGGAGCAGAAGUUAUAAAAGUGGAGAGACCAGGAGUUGGAGAUGAUACACGGACUUGGGGGCCACCUUUUGUUGGGACAGAAAGUACAUAUUAUCUCAGUGUUAACCGAAAUAAAAAAAGUAUUGCUGUUAAUAUCAAGGAUCCAAAAGGGGUGAAAAUCAUCAAAGAGCUCGCAGCUGUUUGUGAUGUGUUUGUGGAAAACUAUGUCCCUGGCAAACUGUCUGCAAUGGGCCUGGGAUAUGAAGAUAUAGACAAGAUUGCUCCUCACAUCAUCUAUUGUUCCAUCACAGGGUAUGGUCAGACAGGUCCAAUUUCUCAGCGAGCUGGUUAUGAUGCUGUUGCCUCAGCUGUUUCUGGUCUGAUGCACAUCACAGGGCCUGAGGAUGGAGAUCCAGUUCGCCCAGGAGUAGCCAUGACUGAUCUUGCCACUGGCCUGUAUGCAUAUGGAGCUAUUAUGGCUGGAUUGAUACGAAAAUACAAAACCGGAAAAGGACUGUUCAUUGAUUGUAACCUACUGUCAUCCCAGGUGGCGUGUUUGUCCCACAUAGCUGCAAAUUAUCUUAUUGUUCGAAAGGAAGCAAAACGUUGGGGUACAGCUCAUGGCAGUAUUGUUCCUUACCAGGCUUUUAAAACCAAGGAUGGCUAUAUCGUAGUUGGAGCAGGAAAUAACCAGCAGUUUGCCACUGUGUGCAAGAUCUUGGAUUUGCCUGAGUUGAUUGAUGACUCCAAGUAUAAAACUAACCACCUUCGGGUACAGAAUAGAAAAGAACUUAUUAAAAUAUUAUCUGAACGGUUUGAAGAAGAACUGACCAGCAAGUGGUUACAUCUUUUUGAAGGCAGUGGAGUCCCAUAUGGCCCAAUCAACAACAUGAAGAAUGUAUUUGCAGAACCUCAGGCCUCUUUGAUUAAACUUGAGGGCAGGAAGAAGCAGUUCCUUUGUACAUCCCUGGUCAGGGGUGUUAUCACAAGAAACGCCGCUGUAUUCCAAUCACUUUUUACCCAUGAGCUGGCGUCCUGAAGUCAGAGACAGCUUCCUAUUUCUCUGCCUGUCUUUAGUGCUGAGCACAGACAAGCUGCUUAUUAAGUGGUAGGUGAGUGCAUUGCUGGACCUGGGCAUUAUAAAAGAGGAACUUGUGAAGUCAGUUGAUGAGCUGGGUGGGGAACGUGUUCCUGACUUUAACAUAUUGCUUGACCCUGGUGGGCUGCCAGUAAAUUCCUGUGGAAUUCUGUUGAAUACUGAAGCAGGAAGGCUUUCCCGCCCUGCACAGUCCUCCUUCCUCCCUGAUUCCAUCAGGUCAGAAGAGUGGUCAUCAUUAGUGAAGAUAUACUAGGUUUCAGUUUGUUGGGUCCUGUUACAUAUAACGUGACUGAGCAGUAAUAAGUCAGGGAGCCCAAAUGGCUGGUUGACGUUUAACCUGUUCAACUGUCAUCUCUGCAGAAGGUCCAAACAGUUACUUCAAAACUUUAACUCAUUCCAAAGUCUACUUCUGUUUAACAAAUUCAGUUACUGAAUCUAUGGUUAUCUAUUAAAUGCUUGUUGUGUUUAAAGGGAUUAGUAAUAUUUAAACAGAAUAAGCUUUAAAUAUGUGACACAAAAUAACUAUUCAAUAAAUAUCACUAGGGUAAUUGGCUAAUCAUUUGUGAAAAGAGUAAUUUUUGAGUAUUUCAAUGUAAUAUAUAACAAGGAGAAAACUAAGGUAAGUGUUUAUCACAGAAAAUCAGAGAAAUCAUGGACAUGAAGCCAAUGAAGAAAGCAGCUCACUAGAUUGAAUCCCAGGUCACCAUACAGCUGAAGAGAGCAAGCUCCUCCCCUGCAUAAGACUCUAACCUCUGCAAGCAAAUCCAACAAAAUCUUGUGAAAAAUUUCAGAAACAAUGUUUGAGAAGAAACCCGGGACUUAAAAAUGAACAAGUAUGCAGUGUAAGCUGACCUUGAGUGUCACAUUUUAACAUCUGUUUUUCAUGUUGUGAUACUUAUUUGAGAUUUGGUAUUAUUAAGUAACGAGGAAAAUAUCUUACUGUUUCCAUAGGUAACAGGGCAGUAACUUGAGGCUGAUGGAUUGGCAUGCUUUGUCUGUAUAAUGUAAUUCAAAUAAAGUCAUAACAUUUUGGCUAUGG
Non-coding RNA from Macaca mulatta (Rhesus monkey), 2564 nucleotides. Lineage: Eukaryota; Metazoa; Chordata; Mammalia; Primates; Cercopithecidae. The record is from RefSeq and is a predicted model, not a curated record.